RNAcentral lists this ribosomal RNA (305 nucleotides) under uncultured bacterium. RNAcentral describes it as "bacterial SSU rRNA". It matches the Rfam family "Bacterial small subunit ribosomal RNA", at positions 333 to 655 of the family's 1533-position model. The record is from RNAcentral.
UGAUCCCUACGGGGCGCAGCAGUGGGGAAUAUUGCACAAUGGGGGAAACCCUGAUGCAGCAACGCCGCGUGAGUGAAGAAGUAUUUCGGUAUGUAAAGCUCUAUCAGCAGGGAAGAAGAUGACGGUACCUGAGUAAGAAGCCCCGGCUAACUACGUGCCAGCAGCCGCGGUAAUACGUAGGGGGCAAGCGUUAUCCGGAUUUACUGGGUGUAAAGGGAGCGCAGACGGCUGCGCAAGUCUGAAGUGAAAGCCCACGGCCCAACCGUGGGACUGCUCUGGAAACUGUGCGGCUUGAGUGCGGGAGG